CCUACGGGAGGCAGCAGUGGGGAAUAUUGCACAAUGGGCGCAAGCCUGAUGCAGCCAUGCCGCGUGUGUGAAGAAGGCCUUCGGGUUGUAAAGCACUUUCAGCGGGGAGGAAGGCGUUAAGGUUAAUAACCUUGGCGAUUGACGUUACCCGCAGAAGAAGCACCGGCUAACUCCGUGCCAGCAGCCGCGGUAAUACGGAGGGUGCAAGCGUUAAUCGGAAUUACUGGGCGUAAAGCGCACGCAGGCGGUCUGUCAAGUCGGAUGUGAAAUCCCCGGGCUCAACCUGGGAACUGCAUUCGAAACUGGCAGGCUAGAGUCUUGUAGAGGGGGGUAGAAUUCCAGGUGUAGCGGUGAAAUGCGUAGAGAUCUGGAGGAAUACCGGUGGCGAAGGCGGCCCCCUGGACAAAGACUGACGCUCAGGUGCGAAAGCGUGGGGAGCAAACGGGAUUAGAUACCCGAGUAGUC
Molecule: ribosomal RNA, 465 nt
Filed under: uncultured Klebsiella sp.
Lineage: Bacteria; Pseudomonadati; Pseudomonadota; Gammaproteobacteria; Enterobacterales; Enterobacteriaceae
Description: bacterial SSU rRNA
Rfam family: Bacterial small subunit ribosomal RNA
Source: RNAcentral